CUACGGGUGGCUCCAGUGGGGAAUAUUGGACAAUGGGCGCAAGCCUGAUCCAGCAAUGCCGCGUGAGUGAAGACGGCCUUAGGGUUGUAAAACUCUUUCGCUAGGGAAGAUAAUGACUGUACCUAGUAAAGAAGUCCCGGCUAACUCCGUGCCAGCAGCCGCGGUAAUACGGAGGGGACUAGCGUUGUUCGGAAUUACUGGGCGUAAAGAGUUCGUAGGCGGACUGACAAGUUAGAGGUGAAAUCCCAGGGCUCAACCCUGGAACUGCCUUUAAAACUGUCAGUCUAGAGACCGGAAGAGGUUAGGGGAAUACCUAGUGUAGAGGUGAAAUGCGUAGAGAUCUGGAGGAAUACCAGUGGCGAAGGCGCCUAACUGGUCCGGUACUGACGCUGAGGAACGAAAGCGUGGGGAGCAAACAGGAUUAGAUACCCUAGUAGUC
Molecule: ribosomal RNA, 439 nt
Filed under: uncultured bacterium
Lineage: Bacteria
Description: partial 16S ribosomal RNA
Rfam family: Bacterial small subunit ribosomal RNA
Source: RNAcentral